CUGUGUUUUUGGUAGACAAAGAGAGCAAAUUGAUAUUUUUAGUACUUGGACUUAUAGAGCCUAUCUCUGAUAUGAAAAUGAGAAAAUCCAUUUUUUGAGCAGGGUCAUUAGUAGUACUAGUUUUCUUGGUAUGUUAAAUUUCAGGGGUCUUUCAUUCUUUUCACAAUGGAUUCAACACUUCUCUCAGUAGAUUUUGUUUCCUUUUCAUUUCGCUUCAACCGCGCUAAUUAUGAAUUCUUACCCUCUCCAUGAGAAUAGGUUGUUUUGGAUAUCUAUGGCAUCAUCAAAAUCUCGUUUAUACGAAAUUUAUGCUGCAAACCACUGGAAGCCACUUUUGUUCGAAUGUUUCGAGCAAGGCCCCUGCCACAUAAGGCUGUUCACUUUCAAGGUGAAAGUUGAGGUAAAAUUACAACCCUCCACUACGGAUUUGGAAUGCGACUUAAGAAGAAGACAGCAGCACAAGAGGCAGCUGAAGGGGCACUCAUGUACUUGAAGCAUUUAGGCUAUCAUUAGCUGCGCAAACGAAGAAAGAAAAUAUAUGGUGGUCUAAAUUUAGGUCAUUUCAUUAAGCUACUGAUCUCUACUUACUUCUGGAGUAGGUAUGGCUAGAGAUGGUAAUUAAUCGGUAGGUGUAGGCUGCUAAAGCCGUCUUGUUGUCUGUUAACGGUUUUUGCUUGGUCUGUUGAUGGAAGUUCCGGCUCAGGUGGUAGCAACUUAUGUUGGCGGUGGAGAUGGGCUGAAACUAGGUGAUCUUUUGAGGGUGAUGUUUUGGGAAUAUACAACAGGAUCAGAAUCGCCGUCGAUCAGGAGGUAGAACUUAUCAUUUGCAGAAGCUUCCUCGGUGCAUGUUUCUUUUUGUGGGUUUUGUUUUUGGAAGCAUAGUGGAAAUAGGGUGGCUCAUAGUUUACCUAUACACUAGACAGGGCCUUCUUUUUUCCUUUUCUAUGAUCAACAAGAUCCUAUUGUUUGGCCCAAAAUUUGUCACCAAAAGAAUGAAAAAAAUCCAGUGACAAAAGAAAAGCAGUCAAACCUACCGAAAAGUUAGCCUUUUUUGUCGUUUUUAUAUGAGGUUUUUUCAACUUUGGUCUAUAAUUUUAUUUUUCGAUCGUUCUCUUCGAAACGAGUGAUUGUUGUAAUAAUUUGACCCACAUCUAAUAAACAUUAAGGCAAAACAAUAGUAAAAAA
This is a long non-coding RNA of Rhododendron vialii, 1185 nucleotides long. RefSeq lists it as uncharacterized. Lineage: Eukaryota; Viridiplantae; Streptophyta; Magnoliopsida; Ericales; Ericaceae. The transcript has 2 exons. The record is from RefSeq and is a predicted model, not a curated record.